This 31-nucleotide non-coding RNA is filed under the name Macaca fascicularis (crab-eating macaque). RNAcentral also lists the same sequence under 1 other name. The record is from RNAcentral. Lineage: Eukaryota; Metazoa; Chordata; Mammalia; Primates; Cercopithecidae.
AAAUUGGUGAAGAUGUGGGCUGAGACAAUGU